RNAcentral lists this transfer-messenger RNA (357 nucleotides) under Pseudogemmobacter faecipullorum. It matches the Rfam family "Alphaproteobacteria transfer-messenger RNA". Rfam says of the family: Bacterial tmRNA, also known as 10Sa RNA or SsrA, is named for its dual tRNA and mRNA-like properties. Its role is to liberate the mRNA from a stalled ribosome. Lineage: Bacteria; Pseudomonadati; Pseudomonadota; Alphaproteobacteria; Rhodobacterales; Paracoccaceae. The record is from RNAcentral.
CCGCUUGCGCCCGCCCGCCGCCGCGCCUAUAUUGCUUUUUGUCCGGGGCCUGCUCCGGACUAUGGCGAUAAACGCACCUGUAAUAGACGGCUCGGACCCGGGGGCGGUACCCGGCGGCUCCACCAUUUCUCCCGGCAUUGCGGGCGUGUGGGGCCGAAACAGGAUCGACGGACGUUCAAAGAGGCCAGCUUUUGCUCGGUGAGGUACCACCGUUAUCGGUCCAUGAUCACAGUUGCCAAUGACAACCGUGCUCCGGUGGCGAUGGCUGCGUAAGCAGCUCUCAAUACCAAACCUAAGCCCUUACGCUUAGCCGCGUAAGGCGGGGUUCGCAGGUACCUGGCAACAGAAACCUGCACU